RNAcentral lists this unclassified non-coding RNA (267 nucleotides) under uncultured fungus. RNAcentral's name for it is "sequence contains ITS1". Lineage: Eukaryota; Fungi. The record is from RNAcentral.
GUAUAAGGUUUAUAGGCACUGGUGCCCAAUUAUACAUUCUGUUACAUACUAUGGGUAUAUGAAAAAACGUAGGCUUGGAAAUGCAAAGAAAGCUGAGUGCAGCAUUCUUCCCGACCGAGUUGCCUCGGAAAGUCUAUCCAAAUCUACAAGAUGUGCACAGGUGGAGAGAUGAGAAUGGCGGGUGUGCACAUGCCCCCUGGAGAGGGCCAGCAACAACCACACCAAGUUCAUUCAAUAAUGAUCCUUCCGCAGGUUCACCUACGGAAA